ACAUGUAUGCUCGUCCUCGCUGUCGCCGCAGGGGAAUCCGGUUCGAAUCCGGAACUGUCCCGCAACGGUAUGACCCGUACCCCUUUGUACGGGCCGAGUCCGAUGACCUGCCGAUGGCGCGUCCGGGUC
This 129-nucleotide non-coding RNA is filed under the name Streptomyces sp. The record is from RNAcentral. Lineage: Bacteria; Bacillati; Actinomycetota; Actinomycetes; Kitasatosporales; Streptomycetaceae.